RNAcentral lists this ribosomal RNA (433 nucleotides) under uncultured bacterium. RNAcentral's name for it is "partial 16S ribosomal RNA". It matches the Rfam family "Bacterial small subunit ribosomal RNA", at positions 29 to 507 of the family's 1533-position model. The record is from RNAcentral.
AACGAACGCUGGCGGCAUGCCUAACACAUGCAAGUCGAACGAUACCUUCGGGUCUAGUGGCGCACGGGUGAGUAACGCGUGGGAACCUACCCUUAGGUUCGGAAUCACUCCCCGAAAGGGGUGCUAAUACCGGAUAAUGUCUUCGGACAAAAGAUUUCUGGCCUUUGGAUGGGCCCGCGUUGGAUUAGCUAGUUGGGAGGGUAAAAGCCUACCAAGGCGACGAACCAUGGCUGGUCUGAGGGGAUGCCCCGCCAGAAUUGAACUGAGACACGGCCCAGAACGCUAGGGAAGGGAGGAGAGGGGAAUAUUAGGCGAUGGGGGAUAACGUGGCCCCGCAACGCCGGGUAGGUGAUGAAGGCAUUAGGGUUCCAAAUUCACCUGACACGAGGUGAUAAUGACAGUACCGGGAGAAUAAGCUCCGGCUAACUCCGUG